AUCCCAUGAUGAGGACACUCAAGUAUGGAAUCUUGAAAGUGCUCCAAAGCUUUUGGGACUGUCUCAUCAUGUUGUUGCUAAAAGCUCGAUAUCUUCUGACAAAGAGC
Molecule: small nucleolar RNA, 107 nt
Filed under: Sorghum bicolor (sorghum)
Lineage: Eukaryota; Viridiplantae; Streptophyta; Magnoliopsida; Poales; Poaceae
Description: Plant small nucleolar RNA R71
Rfam family: Plant small nucleolar RNA R71
About the family: R71 is a member of the C/D box family of snoRNAs containing the C (UGAUGA) and D (CUGA) box motifs.
Source: Rfam by way of RNAcentral